This 439-nucleotide ribosomal RNA is filed under the name uncultured bacterium. RNAcentral describes it as "partial 16S ribosomal RNA". It matches the Rfam family "Bacterial small subunit ribosomal RNA", at positions 338 to 795 of the family's 1533-position model. The record is from RNAcentral.
CCUACGGGCGGCAGCAGUGGGGAAUAUUGCACAAUGGUGGGAACCCUGAUGCAGCGACGCCGCGUGGGUGAAGGAGUACUUCGGUACGGAAAGCCCUAUCAGCAGGAAAGAAAAUGACGGUACCUGACUAAGAAGCCCCGUCUAACUACGUGCCAGCAGCCGCGGUAAUACGGAAGGCCCGAGCGUUAUCCGGAUUCAUUGGGCUUAAAGGGAGCGUAGGCGGGCGUUCAAGUCAGCUGUAAAAGCGCGCGGCUCAACCGCGCCCCGCAGUUGAAACUGGACGCCUUGAGUUCACAACAGGCAGGCGGAAUUCGUGGUGUAGCGGUGAAAUGCAUAGAUAUCACGAGGAACCCCGAUUGCGAAGGCAGCCUGCCGGGGCGCGACUGACGCUGAGGCUCGAAGGUGCGGGUAUCAAACAGGAUUAGAUACCCUAGUAGUC